RNAcentral lists this long non-coding RNA (291 nucleotides) under Glycine max (soybean). RNAcentral describes it as "long non-coding RNA (GMAX_LNC003807)". The record is from RNAcentral. Lineage: Eukaryota; Viridiplantae; Streptophyta; Magnoliopsida; Fabales; Fabaceae.
AAAUGAUGCUUUCUUUUAUUAUUAUAACAUAUUGAUUUAUUGAUGAAGUGACAUACAAAGACAUCAACUGGCUCUCACAAUUCUGUGGAAAAAGGAAAUAAGAAAGGAAACACUCGUUACAUCAAUUGGAAGCCACACCACACACUCAAAGUGAUUGAAUAACACUCCACACAAGGCAAGAAAACUCUUGUAUAUAAUAUAAAACAAGGUCUUUGCAGAUCACUGAAUACUGAAGAUCGAAUUGGAUCAGUUGUAAUGAGGAUUGGCCAAAAGGUAGGCCUCAACGGCCUU